RNAcentral lists this ribosomal RNA (108 nucleotides) under Fusobacterium canifelinum. Lineage: Bacteria; Fusobacteriati; Fusobacteriota; Fusobacteriia; Fusobacteriales; Fusobacteriaceae. The record is from RNAcentral.
CUUGGUGAGUAUAGCUAUGGGGGUACACCUAGUUACAUUCCGAACCUAGAAGUUAAGCCCAUAUACGCUGAUGGUACUUGGCUGGAAGCGGCCUGGGAGAGUAUGGAU